GUGCCAGCCGCCGCGGUAAUACGUAGGGGGCGAGCGUUGUCCGGAAUUACUGGGCGUAAAGGGCGUGUAGGCGGCCUUUCAAGUCGGCUGUGAAAGUCCCCGGCUCAACCGGGGGAUUGCAGUCGAAACUGAGGGGCUUGAGUGCAGGAGAGGAGGGUGGAAUUCCCGGUGGAGCGGUGAAAUGCGUAGAUAUCGGGAGGAACACCGGUGGCGAAGGCGACCUUCUGGCCUGUUACUGACGCUGAGGCGCGAAAGCCGGGGGAGCAAACAGGAUUAGAUACCCGGGUAGUCCUAGCCGUAAACGAUGGGUGCUAGGUGUUGGGGGGUAAAGACCCUUCAGUGCCGUAGUUAACGCAUUAAGUACCCCGCCUGGGGAGUACGGUCGCAAGGCUGAAACUCAAAUGAAUUGACGG
RNAcentral lists this ribosomal RNA (413 nucleotides) under uncultured bacterium. RNAcentral's name for it is "bacterial SSU rRNA". It matches the Rfam family "Bacterial small subunit ribosomal RNA", at positions 505 to 916 of the family's 1533-position model. The record is from RNAcentral.